CUUGAAUGCUUGUUUUCUGUAAGAAAGAAAUCAAUUUUAGUAAGAGUGAGUAAUCAUUUGGACUAACUCUUGUUUAAUCAAGAAGAUCCAAAGCCCCAUCAAUAUCUCUGUCAAUUCAAGUUGAGAUCUUGGAAGGGAAUUUUCUCUGGAAUCAUCAGUUUCUUUAAUCUUGUAUGAUAUUUGAAGAAGCUAGCUAGUCAACGGUGUUGUUUCAUUAAAUUGGCUCAGUAGCUAGCAAUUUUCAAUAAACAUUUGUAGCAUACAUGUCCAAUUAAUGGAGGAAUUGAAUGUAGUAAGACUAUCACCCUUGAGGUUGAAUGGUCCCGUCCCUGCAAAGUCAACAUUGUCAGGAAGAUCAACUCCUAGAGGAGGAUCUCCUUCCUUCAGGAGAUUGAAUUCUGGAAGAACACCGCGAAGAGAUGGUAAAAGUAGUGUUUUUGGUUCUCAGUGGUUUAGAAGUAACCGCAUUGUACUUUGGUUGCUUCUGAUUACUCUUUGGGCCUAUGGAGGAUUUUAUGUCCAGUCAAGAUGGGCUCAUGGAGACAAUAAGGAAGGUAUUUUUGGAGGAUCUGGAGGUGAUGUUGCCAAUGGAACUUCUCAACCAGAGGAAAAAAAUCAACGAAUUCUAGUUGCGAAUGAGGAGUCUUUAGCAGUCAAGCCUCCAAGUAAUAAAACACAGGGAAAUUCGAUGGACCUGGAUGUAGUCUUGGCCAAACAGGGAAACAGUGUGGUAUCUGACAAGGGUGCAUCUCCUAAGAAGAAGAGCAAGAAAUCUACGCGUGCUUCUCGUAGGAAGACUCGUGGUAAGAAGAAAGUGGUGGCAGAAGUAAAAAGUGACGAUAUUGAAAUUCAAGAAGAGGAAAUACCCAAGCGAAAUACUACCUAUGGCCUGCUAGUUGGUCCAUUUGGGUCAAUAGAGGACAAAAUUUUGGAGUGGAGUCCUGAAAAGCGGACAGGAACCUGUGAUAGAAAAAGUCAGUUUGCACGUCUUGUUUGGUCUAGGAAGUUUGUGCUGAUACUCCAUGAACUCUCCAUGACUGGAGCUCCACUUGCCAUGUUGGAAUUGGCUACGGAGCUUUUGAGCUGUGGGGCCACAGUUUAUGUAGUACCUCUCAGCAAAAGAGGGGGUUUAAUGUCAGAACUAUCUAGAAGAAAGAUCAAAGUGCUAGAAGACAAAUCAGACCUCAGUUUCAAAACAGCCAUGAAAGCAGAUCUUAUUAUUGCUGGUUCUGCAGUGUGUGCAUCAUGGAUAGAACAAUAUGCAGCACGUACUGUGCUAGGUUCAACUCAAAUUACUUGGUGGAUCAUGGAAAACCGGCGGGAAUACUUCGAUCGGGCUAAACUUGCUUUCAACCGAGUGAAAAAACUUAUCUUUCUUUCUGAAUCACAGUCUAAGCGCUGGUUAGCUUGGUGUGAGGAAGAACAUAUAAAGCUCAAAACUCAGCCUGCACUGAUUCCACUUUCUAUUAGUGAUGAACUGGCUUUUGUAGCAGGCAUCCCGUGCUCACUGAGCACUCCACUAUUCAGUCCAGAGAAGAUGCUGGAAAAGAGGCAGCUCCUAAGAGAUUUUGUGAGGAAAGAAAUGGGGCUGACAGACAAUGAUAUGCUUGUCAUGUCCUUGAGUAGUAUAAACCCUGGAAAGGGUCAGUUUCUGCUUCUUGAAACAACACGCUUGCUGAUUGAGGGAGCUCCUCCUCUAUAUGGAUCUGCUGUUAAAAGACGAGAAUAUCAGAAAAGGACAUUGCUUUAUAACUGGAAACAAUUUGGUGAAUGGAAAAAAGAAUCCUCCACCUUGUCAAAUAACCAAGAAACUGAAGCAUUGCAGGUACCUCAGCUUUUCAUUAAGGGGGUUAACUAUACAGCUGGAAUUGAAAAUGAUAGAGGAACUCGGAAGCUUUUCUCCUUGCCUGAAGGAAAGCAGGGAGAAAAGCUUAAGGUUCUUAUUGGCUCAGUCGGAUCCAAGAGCAAUAAGGUGCCUUAUGUUAAAGCACUUCUCAAUUUUCUAAAUCAGCAUUCUAACUUGUCAAACACAGUACUAUGGACUCCAUCAACCACUCGUGUCGCUGCACUUUAUGCUGCUGCAGACGCUUAUGUAAUGAAUUCUCAGGGACUUGGAGAAACAUUUGGGAGAGUGACAAUUGAAGCA
RNAcentral lists this unclassified non-coding RNA (2146 nucleotides) under Hevea brasiliensis (rubber tree). The record is from RNAcentral. Lineage: Eukaryota; Viridiplantae; Streptophyta; Magnoliopsida; Malpighiales; Euphorbiaceae.